GAUGAACGCUGGCGGCGUGCCUAAUACAUGCAAGUCGAGCGAAGCGGGGACGGGUGAGUAACACGUGGAUACCCUCCUAUAACAUCGGGAUAACUUCGGGAAACGAGAGCUAAACCGGAUACUUUUAGACGGAUCGCCGCUGCAUUACCUUGUUGGUAAGGUAAGGGCCUACAAGGGUAACGAUGGAUAGCCGACUGGAGAGGGGGAUUGGCCACACUGGAACUGAGACACUGUCCAGACGCCUACGUGAGGCAGCAGUAGGGAAUCUUGCGCAAUGGGCGAAAGCCUGACGGAGCAACGCCGCUUGAGUGAUGAGGGACGUCGGAUCGUAAAACGCUGUUAUUAGGGAAGCGGUACCUAAUCAGAAGGACACGGCUAACUACGUGCCAGCAGCCGAGGUAAUAC
Molecule: ribosomal RNA, 405 nt
Filed under: uncultured bacterium
Lineage: Bacteria
Description: partial 16S ribosomal RNA
Rfam family: Bacterial small subunit ribosomal RNA
Source: RNAcentral